AAUUUCUAGGUAACUAUUCCUAUAUCCUACAUUUCUUAGUAACCAUUCCUGUAUCCUACAUUUCUUAGUAACAAUUCCUAUAUCCUACAUUUCUUAGUAACCAUUCCUGUAUCCUACAUUUCUUAGUAACCAUUCCUGUAUCCUACAUUUCUUAGUAACCAUUCCUAUAUCCUACAUUUCUUAGUAACUAUUCGAUCCUGUAUCCUACAUUUCUAGGUAACCAUUUCUGUAUCCUGCAUUUCUAGGUGAACUGGUACAGUACUGUAAGGAGGAGUUGGAACUGGAAAGUGUUACAAUCGUAUCCAAUGGAAGCAAGGUAUCUGAAAAUUGGAUGUCUGAGUAUGGUUAUUGGCUGGAUAUUCUGGCAAUAUCAUGCGAUUCAUUCAGGUUAUUAAAAAAUUCUGUUAAACUCAUAACUAAGAAGACAU
Eurytemora carolleeae is the source of this 428-nucleotide long non-coding RNA. RefSeq lists it as uncharacterized. Lineage: Eukaryota; Metazoa; Arthropoda; Copepoda; Calanoida; Temoridae. The record is from RefSeq and is a predicted model, not a curated record. The transcript has 3 exons.